GGCCUGGUGGCCUAAUGGUAAGGGUAAGUUUAAUAUGCUCUGAAAACCUAGCUUUUCGUCCCAGGCUAACACUCAUAAAGCGUUGCUUUCCGGUUGGUGAACACUUGUGUUCGCCUUGGAAAUUGGCAAAGAUUGCGAGUUCGAGUCUCGUCUAGGUCG
Molecule: non-coding RNA, 159 nt
Organism: Hyaloscypha finlandica
Lineage: Eukaryota; Fungi; Ascomycota; Leotiomycetes; Helotiales; Hyaloscyphaceae
Source: the annotation of a GenBank genome assembly